RNAcentral lists this ribosomal RNA (473 nucleotides) under uncultured soil bacterium. RNAcentral's name for it is "bacterial SSU rRNA". It matches the Rfam family "Bacterial small subunit ribosomal RNA", at positions 26 to 518 of the family's 1533-position model. The record is from RNAcentral.
AGGACGAACGCUGGCGGCGUGCUUAACACAUGCAAGUCGAGCGGUAAGGCCUUUCGGGGUACACGAGCGGCGAACGGGUGAGUAACACGUGGGUGAUCUGCCCUGCACUUCGGGAUAAGCCUGGGAAACUGGGUCUAAUACCGGAUAUGACCUCCUAUCGCAUGGUGGGUGGUGGAAAGAUUUAUCGGUGCAGGAUGGGCCCGCGGCCUAUCAGCUUGUUGGUGGGGUAAUGGCCUACCAAGGCGACGACGGGUAGCCGACCUGAGAGGGUGACCGGCCACGACUGGGACUGAGACACGGCCCAGACUCCUACGGGAGGCAGCAGUGGGGAAUAUGCACAAUGGGCGAAAGCCUGAUGCAGCGACGCCGCGUGAGGAUGACGGCCUUCGGGUUGUAAACCUCUUUCAGCAGGACGAAGCGCAGGUGACGGUACCUGCAGAAGAAGCACGGCUAACUACGUGCCAGCCAGCCGC